CUACGGGUUGCUGCAGUGGGGAAUAUUGCACAAUGGGCGCAAGCCUGAUGCAGCCAUGCCGCGUGUGUGAAGAAGGCCUUCGGGUUGUAAAGUACUUUCAGCGGGGAGGAAGGGAGUAAAGUUAAUACCUUUGCUCAUUGACGUUACCCGCAGAAGAAGCACCGGCUAACUCCGUGCCAGCAGCCGCGGUAAUACGGAGGGUGCAAGCGUUUAUCGGAAUUACUGGGCGUAAAGCGCACGCAGGCGGUUUGUUAAGUCAGAUGUGAAAUCCCCGGGCUCAACCUGGGAACUGCAUCUGAUACUGGCAAGCUUGAGUCUCGUAGAGGGGGGUAGAAUUCCAGGUGUAGCGGUGAAAUGCGUAGAGAUCUGGAGGAAUACCGGUGGCGAAGGCGGCCCCCUGGACGAAGACUGACGCUCAGGUGCGAAAGCGUGGGGAGCAAACAGGAUUAGAUACCCUGGUAGUC
This 464-nucleotide ribosomal RNA is filed under the name uncultured bacterium. RNAcentral describes it as "partial 16S ribosomal RNA". It matches the Rfam family "Bacterial small subunit ribosomal RNA", at positions 339 to 795 of the family's 1533-position model. The record is from RNAcentral.